GACGAACGCUGGCGGCGUGCUUAACACAUGCAAGUCGAACGGAAAGGCCCUGCUUUUGUGGGGUGCUCGAGUGGCGAACGGGUGAGUAACACGUGAGUAACCUGCCCUUGACUUUGGGAUAACUUCAGGAAACUGGGGCUAAUACCGGAUAGGAGCUCCUGCUGCAUGGUGGGGGUUGGAAAGUUUCGGCGGGUGGGGAUGGACUCGCGGCUUAUCAGCUUGUUGGUGGGGUAGUGGCUUACCAAGGCUGUGACGGGUAGCCGGCCCGAGAGGGUGACCGGCCACAUUGCGACUGAGAUACGGCCCAGACUGCUACGGGAGGCAGCAGUGGGGAACAUUGCACAAUGGGCGGAAGCCUGAUGCAGCAACGCCGCGUGCGGGAUGACGGCCUUCGGGGUGUAAACCGCUUUCGCCUGUGACGAAGCGUGAGUGACGGUAAUGGGUAAAGAAGCACCGGCUAACUACGUG
RNAcentral lists this ribosomal RNA (468 nucleotides) under uncultured bacterium. Its description in RNAcentral is "partial 16S ribosomal RNA". It matches the Rfam family "Bacterial small subunit ribosomal RNA", at positions 28 to 507 of the family's 1533-position model. The record is from RNAcentral.